UCGAGUCUUUGAACGCAAGUUGCGCCCGAAGCCAUUAGGCCGAGGGCACGUCUGCCUGGGCGUCA
This 65-nucleotide ribosomal RNA is filed under the name Rosa spinosissima. RNAcentral's name for it is "partial 5.8S ribosomal RNA". The record is from RNAcentral. Lineage: Eukaryota; Viridiplantae; Streptophyta; Magnoliopsida; Rosales; Rosaceae. RNAcentral also lists the same sequence under 11 other names.